CCUACGGGAGGCAGCAGUGAGGAAUAUUGGUCAAUGGGCGUAAGCCUGAACCAGCCAAGUCGCGUGAGGGAAGACUGCCCUAUGGGUUGUAAACCUCUUUUGUCAGGGAGCAACGCCGGCUACGUGUAGCCGGACUGAGAGUACCUGAAGAAAAAGCAUCGGCAAACCCCGUGCCAGCAGCCGCGGUAAUACGGAGGAUGCGAGCGUGAUCCGGAUUUAUUGGGUUGAAGGGGUGCGUAGGCGGAAUGCCAAGUCACCGGUAAAAUCGCGGGGCUCAACCUCGCUCCGCCGUUGAAACUGGCGUGCUUGAGUGGGCGAGAAGUAUGCGGAAUGCGUGGUGUAGCGGUGAAAUGCAUAGAUAUCACGCAGAACUCCGAUUGCGAAGGCAGCAUACCGGCGCCCAACUGACGCUGAAGCACGAAAGCGUGGGUAUCGAACAGGAUUAGAUACCCUGGUAGUC
RNAcentral lists this ribosomal RNA (460 nucleotides) under uncultured bacterium. RNAcentral describes it as "partial 16S ribosomal RNA". It matches the Rfam family "Bacterial small subunit ribosomal RNA", at positions 338 to 795 of the family's 1533-position model. The record is from RNAcentral.